CCAAGGCUAAAUACUCCUGACUGACCGAUAGUGAACCAGUACCGUGAGGGAAAGGCGAAAAGAACCCCGGCGAGGGGAGUGAAAAAGAACCUGAAACCGUGUACGUACAAGCAGUGGGAGCACGCUUCGGCGUGUGACUGCGUACCUUUUGUAUAAUGGGUCAGCGACUUAUAUUCUGUAGCAAGGUUAACCGAAUAGGGGAGCCGAAGGGAAACCGAGUCUUAACUGGGCGUUAAGUUGCAGGGUAUAGACCCGAAAC
RNAcentral lists this ribosomal RNA (259 nucleotides) under Escherichia coli. RNAcentral describes it as "partial 23S ribosomal RNA". It matches the Rfam family "Bacterial large subunit ribosomal RNA", at positions 460 to 721 of the family's 2925-position model. The record is from RNAcentral. Lineage: Bacteria; Pseudomonadati; Pseudomonadota; Gammaproteobacteria; Enterobacterales; Enterobacteriaceae.